CCUACGGGGGCUGCAGUGGGGAAUAUUGCACAAUGGGCGCAAGCCUGAUGCAGCGACGCCGCGUGAGCGAUGAAGGCCUUCGGGUCGUAAAGCUCUGUCCUAAGGGAAGAAUAAUGACGGUACCUUAGGAGGAAGCCCCGGCUAACUACGUGACAGCAGCCGCGGUAAUACGUAGGGGGCGAGCGUUAUCCGGAAUCACUGGGCGUAAAGGGUGCGUAGGCGGACCUGCAAGUCAGGAGUUAAAUCCCUAGGCUUAACCGUGGUCAGCUCUUGACACUGUAGUGAUUGAGGGCAGGAGAGGCAAGCGGAAUUCCUAGUGUAGCGGUGAAAUGCGUAGAUAUUAGGAUGAACACCAGUUGCGAAGGCUGCAUUCUGGACUGCAACUGACGCUGAGUCACGAAAGCGUGGGGAGCGAACAGGAUUAGAUACCCUAGUAGUC
RNAcentral lists this ribosomal RNA (439 nucleotides) under uncultured bacterium. RNAcentral describes it as "bacterial SSU rRNA". It matches the Rfam family "Bacterial small subunit ribosomal RNA", at positions 338 to 795 of the family's 1533-position model. The record is from RNAcentral.